AGAAACACCACAGGACAUUGUGCAUUUUUGUCCUAACAGUUCAAACCUAUUUGGAAACCCUGAAUGGGGGUAUCAUCUUUAAUAAGUGGAAGCUAGAUGUCCCAGCCGUCUAAUAGUUUAUUAUUGCUUUUGUGUUUGACCUCACAGUCAUCCUCAUUUCCACCGAAGCCGCUCUCUGUCCCAGCAGAAGAGGUGACCUGGAUGUGAACCCUCCGUGGAGUUAUUUUUAGGACCUGCCUGUAAUCGUGAAGGACAUAUAUAUUUAUGGAUCUCAAAACCAACUAUCUGCACAGUGGUGGAAGAAGCAGUCCAGUCCUUUAGCCAGGUCAGCACUCAGUGAGACAGCGCAGCAUCGUGGAUUUAGUUUCAUCGCUUCUAUUCUCCAUCAACUUCCCCCACCAGCCUGCUCCUCGGUGAUACGGAAUGCAACAUCAUGUUUGUGCCCUGUGAACCUGAAGGGGACGACCUGUCUGACAGGAAGAGCUGAGUUGUUUCCUUUGACAAGAUGGCAGCUGACCCCACACCGCUUUAGGGAAAACAUGUAUGAUAGUCGGGAUCGCGUUUGUCUUUGAAGUUCUCAGAAUUGCAGGCAAACAAGGGAAACCUUUUUAAGUUUUGUGUUUCAGAACAGAAUUAACAUGGAAGAAUGCUGAGAGGAAUUCUAUUGUUACAUUCCUCUCAUCUCAAAUACUACCUACAACUGGAGAAGGUAAUAUACCAGAGGAACAAAUACCUGAAACCAGAACACAUGUUUAAAAGCUAUGUUUAAUUUGCUGUAUAUGGUGACAAAUAUGCGGACAUGUUUCGGUUUUUAUCCACCCUUAGAGCACGUAUGAGAAAACAUUUACCUGAGAUCACUUCCUCUACUGGAAAACAAAAGGAAACUACAGACCAAUAAAAGACAGAGAUGUUUAGGGCAGACUAACUAAAUACAGUGCUCCCACUGCAUUUUUAAAACUAUUUCUGUAAUGCUUUGCACAUAUAAAGGUGGUGAGAUAUGUUUUCUAUGCUGUCAGUUCCUCACUAGAUCUUACUGUUUUUGGAUAUUUUUAUCCGUGCAGAAUUAGCGGUUGUGGGUUUUGGUGUUUUGUGAUUUGAGGAGGAAUAGUUGCCUGCCAGAUGUCAUUGUUUCCUGCUGAUUGGUUCAAAUCAAGUGAUGUGUCUUUAACAAAAAGAGAGCUCACUGCUGUCAUGCAUGCUCUGAGGAAGACUUUAAGCCAAAAUAUGUCAAUAGACUGAAAAAAAAUCAUAAAAAGAUCAAAAUACAAGGUAAAGCUUAUUUUUAAAGCUAUGAAAUGUUGCCUUUUUUCAUAAUUUUUGUACAGCCAGGUCAUCAUAUGUGUUUGAUAUAGAAAAGUAUAAAUUUACGGAGAAUUUCAACAAAAUAAGCAUAUUAUCUUUACUUAAUUGAGUCAAGAACUGAGCAGCUUUGUGCAACAGACAUUUACCUGAAGUUUGGUAGGUUUACGAGAGCCUUUUCUCCCAAACAUUACUUUGUCAUAUAACUAAACAUCACACUCCUAUCAUUUUUUUUUUGUUAUUACUAAUUUGUUAUAGAGAAUAUGUUGUUCUUUUAAAGGAGAAGCAUUUCAAUGCAGGAGACAACGACCUGUUAUCUCUUCUGUACAAAGCCACAUUCAGUUGGAUUAAAAGCUCACUUCAAAGGACAUUUGUUCAGCUACUGAGGUAAAUUGUAUUUUAGAGAGAUGAAUCAUCAAAUACCACCAUGAUUUAUGCUGAGAAACUAAAUCAAAAGCUUUAUUUUGAGUUCUUAAUUAGCCAUCAGUCCGAGCAGACAGAUGGACUCUUGCUGUUCAGUUCUGACGUGCGACACGUGCACGUAACUCUGUCAUGUGAACUCUAAUUUCCUGCAGAGCAGCAAUCUGUGGCUGAAGUCUGGUUGAUGGAAGUGGUGAAAUGCUGAGGAAUGUUGAGUCAUUAUGCAAAAAAAUGCACAGAUGUAUUAGUUGGUGACCUAUAGCUGUUUGUGUUAAUAAGUAUUCGGGUACAGUGCAUGGUUGCUUUCUCUUCAGCAGCCUUUAUCUUUUAGAAGGGGAGCAUUUCACACCACAUCCAGUAAAUGAUUUCAUUCUUCUAAUAAAAAUACAUAACUCUCGCCUCAUUGCCUUUGCUCUUGUAUCAAGUCUGUGCAGGUAAUUUGCCCAGUGGCCUGCACUAACACGCAACUAUUAAGGCC
Amphiprion ocellaris (clown anemonefish) is the source of this 2197-nucleotide long non-coding RNA. NCBI's taxonomy places the organism in Eukaryota, Metazoa, Chordata, Actinopteri, Pomacentridae. The record is from Ensembl.